RNAcentral lists this ribosomal RNA (498 nucleotides) under uncultured bacterium. Its description in RNAcentral is "partial 16S ribosomal RNA". It matches the Rfam family "Bacterial small subunit ribosomal RNA", at positions 30 to 523 of the family's 1533-position model. The record is from RNAcentral.
AUUGAACGCUGGCGGCAUGCCUUACACAUGCAAGUCGAACGGGAACAGGUCUUCGGAUGCUGACAAGUGGCGAGCGGGUGAGUAAUACAUCGGAACGUGCCUAGUAGUGGGGGAUAACUACUCGAAAGAGUGGCUAAUACCGCAUGAGAUCUACGGAUGAAAGCAGGGGAUCGCAAGACCUUGUGCUACUAGAGCGGCCGAUGGCAGAUUAGGUAGUUGGUGGGAUAAAAGCUUACCAAGCCGACGAUCUGUAGCUGGUCUGAGAGGACGAUCAGCCACACUGGGACUGAGACACGGCCCAGACUCCUACGGGAGGCAGCAGUGGGGAAUUUUGGACAAUGGGCGCAAGCCUGAUCCAGCAAUGCCGCGUGCAGGAUGAAGGCCUUCGGGUUGUAAACUGCUUUUGUACGGAACGAAAAGCCCCGGGUUAAUACCCUGGGGUCAUGACGGUACCGUAAGAAUAAGCACCGGCUAACUACGUGCCAGCCGCCGCAGUAA